Molecule: long non-coding RNA, 989 nt
Filed under: Rattus norvegicus (Norway rat)
Lineage: Eukaryota; Metazoa; Chordata; Mammalia; Rodentia; Muridae
Description: long non-coding RNA NONRATT022172
Source: RNAcentral
AUCUGGGCAGCUUAGACAUAAGUCUGUGCCAGAUGUCUCCAAAGCUGUCUGAUACUUAACUUUCAGGCUUAGCUGGUAUCAAAUGCCAAGGAAUUUUUGCUACCUAAACCCAUCUGCAGGAAAUAGGCCCAACUACCAGAUGAGAACUAGGUCUCUAGUUACCAUUCAUUUCAUUCAUUUCUGCCAUUCCAUAUCCAUAAACAGCACCACUAACAUCAUGCACAAGAUUAGAUUCCUAAUAUUCUUGACUGUAUAUUUGUAUGAUAUUUUAAAACCUCCUAAAUGGCCAUUCACAGUUGCUUUGCACUGGCCUUCUGAUAAAAUGUUAACACACCUAUUGUAAUAUACAAAAAACAUUCUAUCUACUGAUUUGGACUGAAUGUAUGUACAUAGGCUUUACAAAAAAGUCAGACGUCGAAGCAGUGGUUUACAGAUCAGUGAUUUUCAGAUAGAGUUUCUUUCAGUUGCCGUGGAAUCUUUCAAAAGCACUCUUAGUGUGAACUUAAUGAACUCUAGGGGUCCUGGUGAUCAGAGUCGCCUAGAGAGGAAACCUUUCCUUUUAUUAAUAUGAAGCAAGAUACCAGACUAUCUUGAUUCUCACUUCCAGUGUUUCAAGUGGAAAACGUAUUUCCUUGUUGUCUCUGUAAAUGGAACAUCCUUAAUUUUCCUCUUAAAGAAUAUUGUACUGUUAGAUGUUUGUUGAACUGGUAGCAUCAUUGAGACUGCUGUGAUGUCUUUGUCAGUAAUCUGUAUAAUAUUUUGUAUACAAGUACUGGUAAGAUUGUUAUUAAGUGUAGCUCCAGUCAUUAAAUUACUAUAGCAAAGUAGUACUUCUGUAAUAUUUACAAUGUAUUAAGCCUACAGUAUAUUUUAUUUCAUUGAUGUAAUUUUAUUGUUAUUUAUUCAAGAGAAAGCAGUUCAUCAUGUCUAUUGUCUAAAAUUACCUGGAAUCAAAUAAAAGUUCUAGAUUAUCACGAAAAACCAUAAAA